RNAcentral lists this small RNA (32 nucleotides) under Bombyx mori (domestic silkworm). Its description in RNAcentral is "ovarian small RNA-35052". Lineage: Eukaryota; Metazoa; Arthropoda; Insecta; Lepidoptera; Bombycidae. The record is from RNAcentral.
UGGGUGGACGAGCUCACAGUCCACCCGGUGUU